CACCGCAGAACCAACUAGCAAGGUCGAGGCUUUGCUGCGUACUGAUGAUUUGAUUGACCCCAGCGUGUGCCAAUCAAGCAUUGAAGGACUGUGGCGUGGUGGGUGCACCGUGUGUGUGUCGUUGCUUAAUACGACUCUCUCCGGUAUCACAUCUGGAGCGGGCUAUCCAGUCACAAUCCCCAGCGAAAUGUGCAUACAAAAGGGUAGCCCCGAUGUGGUGGGUCCCGGUAGUCCCGGGAUUCUCCCUCAAAGCCAGCUCAUGUGACACCACACAAAAAAAGUGUGUGUGAGAGAGAGAGAGAGAGACCAAACGUACCCUGAAGCAACGGUAUGUGCGCACACGAGUGCAACUGAUCGAAGCCGCACGAUCGAGAACAACAACAUCCCCGAUCAAAAGU
RNAcentral lists this ribosomal RNA (398 nucleotides) under Anopheles trinkae. The record is from RNAcentral. Lineage: Eukaryota; Metazoa; Arthropoda; Insecta; Diptera; Culicidae.